UUCAUCUUGGAGUCAGAUUUCAUUUUGGAGUCAGAUUUCAUCUUGGAGUCUGAAUUCAUCUUGGAAUUAGAUUUCAUUUUGGAGUCUGAAUUCACAUUGGAGUCUUUUACUAGAGUCUUCGUACUUUACAUUUUUUUUUACAUUGGAGCUGAAUUAUUUAUAUGGGAGUUUUUAUGUAGAAGAAUUCAUCUUGGAGUCAGAUUUCAUCUUGGAGUCAGAUUUCACAUUGGAGUCUUUUACUAGAGUCUAUAUACUUCAGAAGUUUUUUACAAUGGAGCUGUUACAAUAGUGCAUUUAAUCAUUUAUCUUAUCAGCAAGGUGGAGAGAUUUAUAAAAAAAAUAUUGACAGGUCAGACUGGAUUGCAGCCAUUUAUUUAUUUUUAUGAAAAUAAACAAAAAACUUGACAAUUGUGUAAACAUUCCACAUUUGUCCAUUUCCUUUGGAAAAAAGAUUCCUAUUGAAAUAUUUCAUUAGUGGCAUUUUACAUUAAACUUUUCAUUCAGAUUAAGUCAUGAUUUCAUCUUGAGGUUCGAUUUUGCAUGUAAUUUUUUUCAUCAAAUUUCAUAUUGGAGCUACUUCAUAGAACAAUUCUUGUUGAACAAACCAAAGACUAAGUGCAGCCAUAUAAUGAAAACAAACUGUUGGCAGGUUCAUGUAUUGUUAGAAUUUUUCAACAAAUUUCUUAUGUCGUCUCUGACUGAGAAAUCCCAUUGAUUAUUCACGAGUGACCUUUUUACAUUGGAGAGUUCGUGUAGAAGAAUUCAUGUUGGAGUCAGAUUUCAUGUUGGAUUCAGAUUGUUCACAAGAGUUUUCAUCUUUCAUUAGAUUUCGAUUGGUUUGGAGUUGUUACAGUGGCGUUUUGAAACAAAAUCUGAAGUACAUGUACUUGGAAGAGCAAAACGAAUAAAAAAGUCAAACAUAGAUCAUUUUCUGCUUUUCAAUUGCAAUCUUCACUUGGAACAAUUAAAGAUUCAUUCGAACAUCCGUAAGUGACAUUUCAUGUAGAAGAAUUCAUCUUGGAGUCAGAUUUUACAUUGGAGGUCCUAUUACUUCAUAAGUUUUUAUACUGGAGUUAUUUAACUGUGGUGCAUUAAAACAUUUAUCUAAUCAAAAUUGUGGAAAGACUUACCGAAAAUCAAACUGCCAAAGUGGAGCAGAACCGUUUCUUUAAAAAAGAUAGGAAACAGGGUAUUUCUGUUAACAUUUUACAUUGGAAGAAAGAAUCACAUCAAGAUAUUUAUUAGUGAUAUUUCAUGUAGGAGAUGUUGUGUUAAAGAAUUCAAAUUGGAGUCAGAAUUCAUCUUCAUGAGUCAGAUUUUACAUUGAAAUCUUUAAAGGGAUAGUCUCUAAGAAGCUUGAGCCGUCCUUUACCUUGAUCUAUAAGCCAUCUUCACAAAGUUCUCUACUUAGCCCAGAUGAACUCAUCCCUUAUAGUAUGAUGCAUUGGAAGAAUUGCUUCAAAGACCCAAGGGUGAACUUGUGGUCAUUUAUGCCCUCUUUACAUUGUACUGCCCUGAUCUGAAUCACACUUGGAACAAGGGAGUCUAUACAGCUUGCACUGCCCCUCCUCUCUUCAGACGCCAGGUCCCAUUCUAGUGGCCAGUUGCAAUGCCGUCUGGUGGAGAAAAAUGACUUGGUUCCACAUCACCACUGUUUUUCCUAAUUUGAGAAGCCUGUUGGAGUAUUAGUUUGCCAGCCUUGUAAAGUUGCAAUGAUUUAUUAGCCAGAAACAAUUGUAUUGUUUCAUGCCCCAUUAAAUAUGAAGAAAUUUAUAAAAUGAUAUUAUUUAAAAUAUAAGAAUUCUUAAGAUUCUGAAUUUUGUCCUAAAUGCAUAACUGGAAUGCCUUUAAGG
Magallana angulata is the source of this 1853-nucleotide long non-coding RNA. RefSeq lists it as uncharacterized. The record is from RefSeq and is a predicted model, not a curated record. The transcript has 3 exons. Lineage: Eukaryota; Metazoa; Mollusca; Bivalvia; Ostreida; Ostreidae.